Molecule: unclassified non-coding RNA, 1773 nt
Filed under: Hevea brasiliensis (rubber tree)
Lineage: Eukaryota; Viridiplantae; Streptophyta; Magnoliopsida; Malpighiales; Euphorbiaceae
Source: RNAcentral
GGGCAGUUAGUCUCAUGAUGCAAUCUUAGUUUUGUAGCUCACUGUAGCUGUUUCUAUUUUUUCCCAUCCUCUGGCUUUAUAUACCUUUCUUGGGUACAAAAAUGUAAUGUUGGAGAUGGUUUUGUACCUAUAAUCAAGCCAUCAAGCCAUGUAUCAUGAUGCUUAAGUUUUAUUUGUUUAAAAUAUAGUUCAGACUUGUGCCUAACUUUAACUUAACCAAUUAACAAAGAAAAAUUAAUUUGAAUAAUAAUUUUAUUUAAUAAUUGCAUUUUUAUUAAAAUAAUUGUUUUCCUAUUCCAUUAAUGUUUAUUUUUUAGUUAUUCAUAAAAAUAUUGAAUAGCAUAGUUUUAAUAAUGUCUUUAUAAAAUUGAUUUGUUAAAUAUGCAUUUUGAUCGUCCCACUAACCUUCAAACCAAGCUUAAAGGUUUUUGAGAUUAUUCAUUAAAAUGAAUUAAGCUAAACUUUAGGCUCAUGUUUGGUUUGUCUUAACUAAUGAGCUUGAAAGAGAAUUUUAAAAGUCAAGCUCUAUAUCUUGGUUCAUUUUUCAGCCUGAGGAGGGGAAGGAUGCCUCUUCUCUGCUGACCCCAGCCCCACCUUUUUUUUGUCGCGUACAGGAUUGGAUGCUUAGCUGUUUAAUCAAGCUCAUAACUCUUGCCCAUCAUCUAAAUCCCAAGUGUUCAAUUAUCUCUCACCUUCCACACAACUCUUUGAUAGCCUGUUAAUAUAAUUUAAGUGAUAAAAGCAAAGCACUAAUAGUCAAAACACUUAAGUAGGACAAUGAGCAAAAAAUUCAAGAGUUGAAGGAAAGAAAGAAAACCUGUGAUUUCUAAUAUAUGGUUUGUUUAUCAAAGAGUUUCUGGCCAUCAUGGGCUUCUGAUGCCAAUCAGAUAGUAACUAGUUUUAUCAUACAACAAAUUACCUGUGCGGCAGGUCAAUCUUGUUGUCUAAUGUUGUUUUGUUAUGAUGUUAGAUUUGGCUGCUAAGAAGUGUGUACCAUGCAACUCAAAGGAUUUGCGGCCUAUGAAAGAAGAAAGCGCAACUGAAAUGAUGUCAAAGGUUGGCGGGUGGAAUUUGGUGAAAGAAGAUGGUACACUGAAGCUGCAUCGAUCAUGGAAAGUAAAGAGUUUCACCAAAGGGUUGGAUUUAUUUCAGCUAGUAGGGAAUGUUGCUGAAACAGAAGGUCAUCAUCCAGAUCUUCAUCUUGUUGGUUGGAACAAUGUAAAAAUUGAGAUAUGGACUCAUGCAGUUGGUGGACUAACAGAAAAUGACUUCAUACUUGCUGCCAAAAUCAAUGGGCUUGAUCUGCACCACCUACUGAGAAAGAAGACUGCUACUUGAGAGGUUGAUAUGAAUUUUGCAAGAUCUGGAAAUGAUAUGAUUGUCUUCCAUACAUGGAGUAAAGGACUAUGCAUGGCAAACCAAAUGCAGGCGUUCAGUUUUCGUUUUGUUUUUCUUCCAAUAGAUUGUGCCUGGAUAUCUGUAUAAAUACUUCUUUUUUUAAUCUUAAUUUUCGACUCGUUACAAGCAUAAUGUCUGCUACUUGCAGCAUAAGCUGAUCUUAAUGAUUAAAGUCACAGCACAAGUUCAGAGGGUAUUGGUAACUUGAGAAUUUGCAGCAAGGAUUUCGUUAUUGUAUAUUUGCCUUAUUUUGAAGCUUCAGGCUGGUCUUGAGUGCUAAAAGGUGUCCAUCUCUCGACUUUCAAAUGGUAUCUUUAUCUUCCCAAUCUCACCUUAAGAUUGUACCCAUUGGUGAUUAACCCCUUUUUAAAAAUG